This is a long non-coding RNA of Tarenaya hassleriana, 159 nucleotides long. RefSeq lists it as uncharacterized. Lineage: Eukaryota; Viridiplantae; Streptophyta; Magnoliopsida; Brassicales; Cleomaceae. The record is from RefSeq and is a predicted model, not a curated record. The transcript has 3 exons.
AAUGCCCAAGGAUACACUGAUCUACCCGGCUCAUGACUACAAAGGUUUCUCGGUUAGCACCGUCAGAGAAGAGAUGCAAUACAACCCGCGACUAACGAAAGACAAGGAAACGUUCAAAAACAUAAUGGCAAGUAAGUAUCGAUUCUUGGUUAUCUCUCU